UUUUGUUUGCGAUUUCCUGAGUUUCACCUUGAGGACAAGGUGGUAAUCAUGGAGGGGGCAUUGUCACACCUGGAACCAAAGGGGAUGAAGAUUAGCACUGGCGAAGGGGGAAUUUAAUUCAAAUUGAUUGAAACGACAGCGUUAUGAGCUGGCGGCAAGUAAAUUCAAAGCUGGCAGCAAGUAAUUUCAAUUCUAGUUAAACGGUUGCGUUUUAAGGCAGCUCGGGUAAAACUGAAUAAAAUAGUAAAGGCCACGUGUAAAGGCCAGAAUUAAAACAGAAACGGCAUAACAGAAGGGUGAGGAUAAAUACCCUGAAGAUGUAACAGAAGUUAGGCAAUUUAUAUAACAGAUUUCAGUAUUGUUCCCUAAUUCUCUCUCGCCCUUCAGCGUGGAAAUAAC
Molecule: long non-coding RNA, 399 nt
Filed under: Populus tremula
Lineage: Eukaryota; Viridiplantae; Streptophyta; Magnoliopsida; Malpighiales; Salicaceae
Description: long non-coding RNA (PTRE_LNC002641)
Source: RNAcentral